GGGCUCGUGGUCUAGCGGUUAUGACGCCUGCUUGACACGCAGGAGGUCCCCGGUUCGAAUCCGGGCGAGCCCA
Molecule: transfer RNA, 73 nt
Rfam family: tRNA
About the family: Transfer RNA (tRNA) molecules are approximately 80 nucleotides in length.